GAAAAGAUCCCAGCCAGAUCAUCAUUACCAACCCUGUGCGGCAGGCGGCAACGACUGACGUAAAGCGUGGGAAGGAAGGCAGUAGGGAUAGUAUAGAGCACCGAAACUGAGAAAAAGCCGUGAGCUGACCCAGUGGGAAGCGGGGAAGGCAACACUUUGACGGAUGUUAGAGGCGAGACCGACAAAGCCACGGCGGUGUCUGAGACC
RNAcentral lists this non-coding RNA (207 nucleotides) under bovine gut metagenome. The record is from RNAcentral.